RNAcentral lists this microRNA precursor (205 nucleotides) under Oryza nivara. RNAcentral describes it as "MIR812 microRNA precursor family". It matches the Rfam family "MIR812 microRNA precursor family". The record is from Rfam by way of RNAcentral. Lineage: Eukaryota; Viridiplantae; Streptophyta; Magnoliopsida; Poales; Poaceae.
AAUAUUUGACGCCGUUAACUUUUUAUCACAUGUUUGACCGUUCGUCUUAUUCAAAAAAUUUAAGUAAUUAUUAAUUCUUUUCCUAUCAUUUGAUUCAUUGUUAAAUAUAUUUUUAUGUAGGCAUAUAAUUUUACAUAUCUCACAUAAGUUUUUGAAUAAGAUGAACGGUCAAACAUGUGCUAAAAAGUCAACGGUGUCAAACAUU